GGAAAUGUGGCUUAGUGGUAGAGUGCUUGCCUAGCAUGCAUGAAGCCCUGGGGUCAAUUCCUCAUUACUA
RNAcentral lists this transfer RNA (70 nucleotides) under Dipodomys ordii (Ord's kangaroo rat). It matches the Rfam family "tRNA". From Rfam's summary of the family: Transfer RNA (tRNA) molecules are approximately 80 nucleotides in length. Their secondary structure includes four short double-helical elements and three loops (D, anti-codon, and T loops). The record is from Rfam by way of RNAcentral. Lineage: Eukaryota; Metazoa; Chordata; Mammalia; Rodentia; Heteromyidae.